This is a long non-coding RNA of Mugil cephalus (flathead mullet), 2738 nucleotides long. RefSeq lists it as uncharacterized. The transcript has 3 exons. The record is from RefSeq and is a predicted model, not a curated record. NCBI's taxonomy places the organism in Eukaryota, Metazoa, Chordata, Actinopteri, Mugiliformes, Mugilidae.
CGGAACCGGAAGAGGGGUCACGGAGAAGCGCGAGGAAAAGACGGAGAGGAGAGUGAGUGACAGCAUGGCCGCGGAAACAUUACAGCAAAGAAAAGACUUUGAGGAGUUAAAACACGCUGGUUGAGGAACGUAUGUCGAGACAAACGGACAGUGAGUCUCAGAGUGACUGUUCAGUGAACGCAGCACCGUGUUUGAGUUUACAUGAAGAGAAAAAGAGUGAAAAGAGAGAAGUGCAGCUAGAAGCUAAUGUAGCUCACGUGAGCUUACCUGGCGGCCUUCACGACGAGCAGCUCGCGGAGGUGAAGCCUGUUAGUCUGCUGUGUAACCGGUCUGCAUGAGAGGAUCUGCGGUGAGUGUUUACCACGGACGCUACCGGGAGAACGGACGGGGGGAACCGUCUAAGGCCCAGGCUGCAUUAACACGCUGUGCCGCAGAAAGGUCAAGGACGAGGACGCCAUUAUGCCGUGAGUCUGACAUUGUUUCUUUUCUGGCUCCUACGAAACGCGAGCGUCGAACCAGGCCCGCAUCACUCCACUGACACACUGGGUACCCAUUCCAUCUUAUUUUAUUUUCAUGUAGUGAAUAAAAGUGCUGGCUAUAGGUGGAAUAUUUUGGUUGUUGUGCUUUUGAAAUGUGGGUGCAUAUUGGAAAAAAAAAGAAAGAAAAAAAAGAAACUGGUUCUUUGUUAAUUGAUUGGUGUAGUGAGUUAAAGGGACAAAUAAGUCUAAGAUUUGCACUUGAAUAGUUGUGUUUUUUUCUCCCAUUAUUGAAAUAUUUGAUUGUGUGUUCAAUAUUAACAAAAGUAAAUCGUUAAAACUUACCUGUGUCUGUUCUUCUUUCCCAUGGUGUCUUAUAAAUAGUGUUGUUUAUGUUCAUGUAGUCAUUGUAGAGAGUGCUUGUGUUUGAGGUGUGAGUGCUUUAGAGAGAGGCUAAAAGGAACUUAAUGGGUAACUAUAGAAAAAGAAGUAACUUCAUUAGUAUUUCAUUUAUGUAUAGUAGUGAUUAAAAAAAAACCCUAAAAACGGAGUUUGUUAAAUAAAAAGUAGUUUUAAUAAUAGAGUUCACACACAACAGUUGAUAAACAGUGUAUUGCAGCAGACCUACCUGCUGCCAUUAGUAACCCAUAAAGAAAGUGAUUUCUUGCAUCUCAGUAAAAUAGACCUGACGUCUAGGGGGCGCUACAGCCCUGUCUGAACACUAUCUUAUGUUUUGUUGCAGCUGCAUGGACCUUGUAAUUACACCUUCUCCCUCUGGUAAACACACACUUCUUCUAAACUCUUCCAGGGUUUGACACUGUCAUGAAUUAGUUGUUUGCUGUUGUGUUGAUGACCCUGAUGACUUUACAGUGACACCAUCACAACCAAGCUCUUUUUGGAAGAGAUGAUAUCACACAACAGUUCACAACAGCCUUCUCACACUUAUCAUCUGUACAUCUCAUCUUCCGUACCGCUUAAUUUUUGUGGCCAGAAGCCACCUGUAGCAGAUCAACUGCUCAUUACUGGUUUAUUUAUUGAAGGCGUUCCUGCUGACAGAGACUGAGACGACCUGAAAGUAACUGAACAUCUGAAUGAAAUCUAGCUAGGACUCAUCUAUCUGCUGAAGCUCGAAGAGGAAACGAUCUGUGGAGAGGAAAUGAAACUGAAGUUGAUCUAGUGGCUCUUCCUCUUUUUUCCACCGUCUACCGCUGUGGGAAUCACCGAGAUUAACUCAAAGGGCUGGACUUGUUGACUAGUUCUACACGUCCAGUUGCCUUUAUUCCACGCCUUUAGGGUUACCAUGACCUGGAUGACUGAGAACCUCCACAGAAACACAGAGCACACACAACCCAGGAGAGGUCACUUCAGCACCGGACAGCUCCUCUGACCCCUCUCUACAAUGAGAGGUCACUUUAGCUCUGGACACAUUAUGUUCCUCUGCCUCGGCAUGAGGCUUUAAUUGAACAUGUUCCCUCUCAUGGUACAGCUUCAUCAUGUCGACAUGACAGAGACGAGAUCUGGAGUGGAUGAGAUCUCUAUCACCAACAUUUAUUUUGCACAAGAUGAGGUCCAGUAUGUGGAGCUUCCAAGCUACAUUCACGGAUCCGAAGCAACACUAAAACCUUGCCACCAGGUGAAAAUGAAAACUUUUGUCAUGCUUGUUAAACUAACCUUUCAUCCCUGACCUGCACGGCAUCAAGAUCAGCAAUCCCCACUGUGUCAAACUAACACACAAACUUUUACAGGUUUGAAUCAUGUUCGUGUCCUCCUACGUUUUGUUGGAGCUGUUUUGAAUCCCAAAUGGGUCAUUUGUGGGAUUCCUGUAAUGGUGGCAGCGCUGCUCUUCUGUCCAGUAAUACACACCUGAAGCUUCACUGUUCAUUAAAACGAACUAACGCGACUGACACAGUUGUUAGAUUCCAUCAAUGAGAUUCACAUUACUCUCCUGAAAAGAGUUUAACCAGCCAGCGGUAAACCUCUAAAAUCUUGCGGAUGAAGUUACUUGGCUCGUUAUCUCCAGUGGGAUGAUGACGGAGUCGGUCCCGGGCGAUCAGUUCAUUAGACCGGCUGCUGCCUCUGAGACGCGCCGGUACCAUGGAUAACCAGCCCCCGGUCGCUGCUCUUUGUGCACUUCUCCCAAAACAAACGUCGGAGCAAAUUUCCAACAGGUGAUAUCUGGAUAAACUGACCACAGACUGGGGAUUUAACAGUGACUUUCUCACGAUAAAAAAAUAUUAAAACUUUUAUCAGCUAGAGGACUUU